AGGGUUCGAUCCUGGCUCAGGAUGAACGCUGGCGGCGUGCCUAACACAUGCAAGUCGAACGGAGUUAUUUUGGAAAGUUGCUUCGGUAACUGGAAUCUAUAACUUAGUGGCGGACGGGUGAGUAACGCGUGAGCAAUCUGCCUUUAGGAGGGGGAUAACAGUCGGAAACGGCUGCUAAUACCGCAUGAUACGUUUGGGAGGCAUCUUCUGGACGUCAAAGAUUUUAUCGCCUUUAGAUGAGCUCGCGUCUGAUUAGCUGGUUGGCGGGGUAACGGCCCACCAAGGCGACGAUCAGUAGCCGGACUGAGAGGUUGAACGGCCACAUUGGGACUGAGACACGGCCCAG
This 346-nucleotide ribosomal RNA is filed under the name uncultured bacterium. Its description in RNAcentral is "bacterial SSU rRNA". It matches the Rfam family "Bacterial small subunit ribosomal RNA", at positions 8 to 334 of the family's 1533-position model. The record is from RNAcentral.